UUAGAUUCGAGGGUCUCAUGGACCAGAGGCCUCGGAGUAGGGAGGAAGGGGAACCUGGUUGGGUGUUGGGAAUAUAAAGCCCCUUCAGAGGUCCAGCAGGCCAGGGAAGGGAGGCCUUGAUCCAGGGCAGCUCUAGGCCUGAGAGACCCUGUGCCCCUCUCCCAGGUCCUCCCCAGCUCUCGGCCAGGUGCUUUGGAGACCAGCCCCGGAGGCCAACAGGCCCGGGCCCAGGGACGCGCGGGGCCCCUGGGUCUCUGCAGGGCAGCCUCCCUGUCCCCAGGCCUCCAGUCCCUCACUUUCUGGACCAGAAGCUCCAGCCUCACCUGGACACCAGGCAGGUCGUGGGGCAGUUCGGAGGCCAGGGCCUGACAUCGGAGCUUGGGGGGACAAGCUGCGUCCAAACCCACCUUCUUGUGUGUGGGCGACCUGAGGCCACCUGCUGUAGAUCCGGGAGGAGCAGGGUGGAGGACUACAGGGGCAGGGCCGCGAGGCAGACCCCCAGGCAGGGGGCUAUGUGCCGGGUCCUCGGUGGGACCUCCUCAGUGGCAGUGGCUGAGGGACUGGGAUGCAUGACCAAGGGGCCCUUCUGUCCUCUGUGGAGGUCCCCCACGAGGCCUGGGGGAGCUGAGGGUCCCUUGCAGGCAGCUGGCUGGGCGAGACCCUUCCCCUAGGGCAGUCCCUCCCCCAUGCGCUCUCCCUGCCCUCCCACCGGGGAGGGUGCACCCACCAGGGUGUCCCUAGGCUCUACUUUCUGUGCCUGCCUGGCCCUGGCCUUGUACAGGAGGGGCACUGGGGCGGGGGCUGAGGCUCUCGUUACUCCGGGAGGGUGGUUGUGGUCCCAGUUUGCCUGGACUCCCUCGUGCAUAGAGAGCCCUGAUCCAGGAGCCCUCCCUCCUGGGCACACAGGGAUGCUGGCUGCCCUAGCGGACAUCACCACAGCGCUUCAGAGGUGGUGCCUGGCGCCGCCAUUCACUGAACCAGCCCACAUUUCAUCUACAGGCUCUUCUGCUGGGGCACCUGCCGCCCUUCCUUGCUCUCGCCCCAGAGCCUUGCUCCCCUGGCUGGGGUGUGUCCGACACCCUUCCUCGCCUGAGUGCUAAGGCGGUACCAGGCCUGCCCACCACCAGCCGCCCUGUGGGAGAGCAGGACCCCAGUCAUGUCCUUACAGGCAGCAGGCGGCCAGGCCCUUCCUCUGCUGGGUCUCAGUCAGGACUUGCGCAUGUGAAAGCACGGAGCAGCUCCACUUUGGGGAAGCCAGGAGCAGAGAUCCUGCUGUGAGCCCGUGUCCCCGGGGGCAGUGACCCAGAGGAGACUCUGCAAUGCCACAGCUGAGCGUACCUCCACGAGUCCCUCGUCCCUCACAUCAGAGCCUCCACAACCAGCCGAGCGCUGGCUGGGUGGGCUCCUGGGGGAACGCUGGCCCUGCGAAUGAUGGAGAGAGAGCCACGUGGGGGGGGUUCUCCUCGGGCUUCAGGCACAACUUCAUUGACUCAUUCAUCACAAACACGCGCUGAGCCUCCACUCUGUGCCGGGAGCCAGGCCCAGGGUGGAGACGAGCACCCGAGUCCACUGACCGGGGCAUUUGCAAUCCAGGAGAGGCCACAGGGUGCGAGUGAGCAGCCUGUUGAGGGGGCCGGGCUCUGGGCGACGUAACGAGGUGCCAAACAGGGCUGGCUGGUCAGGGAGCCGGCCUGUCUGGGCUUCAGGUAGACACUGGGGGACAGACCCGAGCCCAACCUCUGGAGUGAGGGUCUCCUGCUGCGCAGCCUGAAGCAGAGCCAGGGGCUGAGCCAGCUCCGGACAGCGGCUCCGAGACCCGUGUGCAGACGGGUCAGCCUGGGGUGGCACACCUUCCUGGCCACCAUGUCGGAGCACUUGUCACGGAGCAUCGCUCCGGUGGGAGCUGACAAGUGCACCAGGUGGGGUUUGAGGAGCCGAUGGGGGAGAGUCCCGAGGGUGUCGUUGGAGGUGGGGUGAUGUGUUCACAGGGAGAAGGAAGACAGAACUGUGGGCACGGGGUGGUGGGCGGGCAGGGAGGGGCUCCUGAGAGGCAGGGGUCCUUGGAACCAGCUGUGAGCCCCUGUCCUCAGGGGGACACCAGCCUCUACUCGGGCUGUCUCUGAGCACCACCUUCCCAUCUGGCUUUGCUCCUGACUUGCCACGGUGCCUGGACAUGAGUGGUCCCUCCAGGGUGGUGACAGGCACCGCUGCUCCUCACCAGAACACCGGCCAGCGCCCCGAGGCCCGGUGCAUUUCCAGUCUCAGUUCUCCCUGGGCCCCAAGUGCUGGGUCCAGCCAAGGGGUUCCUGGUGGCUGCCCCCUCCCAGGUCCCCCUGCUCAGCAGCCCCCAGGAGGAGAGCCCUGAGGGACCCUGGGGAUGUGGCCUGUGUGUCUGGGGGCAGUGGGCAGGAGGCCAGAGGAGGGAAGACCCGUCCUUCAGGGACAGCACUGACCACAGAGGAAGAGGCCGGCUCGGGGGAGGAGGGGGCAGCUGCUUCCCCGACCUGUGUCCCAGGACUUGGCUCUAACCUGAGCAUCGGGAUCCCACAAAAGCAGCAGCCAACACGGCGAAGCUUCCAAACACCCAUGCCACCGGCCCCUGCUAAUUAGGGCUCGAUAACUGUGACCAGGCCUGGGGCCCUGGGGAGGGUCCACCCCUGGAGGGCUGGUGGGACCUUCUGCCUGUCCCACGGGGGGAUGACGGCCGAGGUUCGGCUACCAUCUGCUGGCCCCCUGCCCCGGUCAGUGCUGCCUCUGCACAGCCUGCCAGGGGCCCUGCAGGCCCUGCUCUCGGGGGGGUUUCUGCUGCUGAUGGGGUCUUGAGUGUGCCCAGCUGCCCUGGGAGCCCUGUCACCACAGGCAGUCCACAGGGACGAUGCUGAAGGGUGGGUCACUGCAGGGCUCGUUAGCCGCGUGCCUGACCAAGCUCAUGUGGCCGGGUGAGGGCUAAAUCUAUUUAGGGGAAAAGGAGGCAGUUUCUUUCUGCCUUAUCCACUUAACUAUUAGCAGCAAGGUCAACUGCACUUAGAGCAAAACAAGAGGCCCCACGCCUGGCCUGGCUGCUUUCUAUUACCCUCUCUGCCCCCCGGCCCUGCCAUUGUCCCAGCUGUCCCCGGCAGGCUCUUGGUGGCCUGAGGUUGUCCUGUGUCUGCAGGUCCACAGGAGCACUGACCAGAGGCCAAGCAGAGCCUGGGUCCCCAGGGGCUUCCAGGUGAGGGAGGGAUUUUGCCAGAUCCCUGAGGGCCGUGCUCUCGGUGGGGGAUGAGAGUUCUGGCCAGAGGGGCCGAUUCAGCAGCCCCUCCUUGGAGACUGGCCUCUGUGACUAGCCACGAGGACGGCACGCACAAAGGGCUGGCCCAAGGUGGGACCAGCGCUGGUGGGGUCCGUUCUCAGGGGGACAGUGCGAGGCCACCUCCUGAUGAGACUACUUCUCUUCAGCUGUCCUUGACCCCUGUGGGUCCCUUCCCUCAACCCACUUGUCCUGGGAACCUUCCCUUGGAAAUCUCACCCACAAGAGUCCCCCCUUGGGGGUCCCUUCUGCGAGCCACAGGCUCCUCCUGUAAGGUCAGGCCUGAGAGAUUUCCAGGCCACAUCUCAGUGUCCCUGGUCAGCAGGACAGGUGGCUUCUUAGGGAGAAGGAUAGAGCAGCCGGGUCAGGCUGGUGGGAGGGGGGGAGGAUGGGCUGGAGACCAGCACCGUCCCUGCGAGCCCCGCCUCUGCCCGUGGGCGCUGCCCGCCUCUGCCCUCGCCCGGCUUGCGACACAGCCCAGCUCUCUCCAAGGAUUCAGUGUGGCAGAAGUUUGCUUUAUUUUCCCACCUGAGCGCAGUUUAUUUUCAUAAUAUUAAAAAGAUCCAAGUCAACAU
RNAcentral lists this long non-coding RNA (3864 nucleotides) under Marmota monax (woodchuck). The record is from RNAcentral. Lineage: Eukaryota; Metazoa; Chordata; Mammalia; Rodentia; Sciuridae.